AGGUCCUACGGGAGGCAGCAGUAGGGAAUCUUCCACAAUGGACGAAAGUCUGAUGGAGCAACGCCGCGUGAGUGAAGAAGGGUUUCGGCUCGUAAAGCUCUGUUGGUAGUGAAGAAAGAUAGAGGUAGUAACUGGCCUUUAUUUGACGGUAAUUACUUAGAAAGUCACGGCUAACUACGUGCCAGCAGCCGCGGUAAUACGUAGGUGGCAAGCGUUGUCCGGAUUUACUGGGCGUAAAGCGAGUGCAGGCGGGUUAAUAAAGUU
Molecule: ribosomal RNA, 264 nt
Filed under: uncultured bacterium
Lineage: Bacteria
Description: partial 16S ribosomal RNA
Rfam family: Bacterial small subunit ribosomal RNA
Source: RNAcentral